Psammomys obesus (fat sand rat) is the source of this 1286-nucleotide long non-coding RNA. RefSeq lists it as uncharacterized. The record is from RefSeq and is a predicted model, not a curated record. Lineage: Eukaryota; Metazoa; Chordata; Mammalia; Rodentia; Muridae. The transcript has 3 exons.
CAGGUGGGACCCUCCAACUGAAGCGUGUGGCAUUUCAACAGCGUACUCUGCGACCAUGUACUCAUCUUUUACUUUAGUGCUGGAGGAGUAGAGAGGCAGCAUCGGUGGCUACCUGCUCUAGACUUCCACAAAACUGGGCCUAUUAACACCCAGUCCAGAAUGGGGAGAGCUCCUAAGGCCUACCACUCUUUGAGGACCUACAGGCCCUUAAUGGCUAUGUGUGGGAGGAGUCACCAGUGCUGUAGUUACUGGGGAGAUACGACUGGACUUCAUUUUAUGCUCAUGCAAAAAGGUCCCAACACCUGGCUCCUGCUGGUGUCCACUGCAUACCAUACCUUGCCUGGUUCACGUGACUGAACUUCGAGCAUGGCUCUGGCCUAUUAACAUGAAAGCCCAGGCUGGUGGUUUUUACCAGGUCAAGACAAGGGCUGCCACUGGCCUGGCACUGGGCUGGUUGACUGGCUGCUAGAGGUCUUGGGAUAUUCUGCCAAGUGCUCAGAGGAAUGCAGCACUCAGGCCAUGACUGUGAGUUGGACUCCCCAAAGAAGAAUGAGGCCCCUCUACCAGGCCGGGGUAGCACCUUGCAGACACGAGGUGUUGGAUCCAGCACUUUGCCCUCCAACAAGUGUUCCUAACCAUCGAGCCAUCUCUCUAAACCCUGUAUGCAAUUUUCAUGGUUGGACACAACUCUAAAUGUGUUUCCACAAGUGCUUAUAUUCAUAAAAUGAAAACCAACAAAAAGGAACAAAUUACCAAUUCAUCAAAAACUCUCCAAUUUACUGUGCUGAGAAGUCAAGUUUAAGACCAAACAUCAUAUAGUUUCACUUAAAUAUUCUGGAAGAAGCAGCACGAGAGACAGAAAAUAUACCACCUAUCAAAUGGGACGGAAGAAUUUUGAACAGAACUUCUCCAUCAACAUAGAGUAUGUUUACAAAGAGAUAUGUGCUUUUCAAAAGAGUUGGACAAUUCACACUGAAAGUGGCAAUGUAGUUUGCUCUAUAAAUCUUGUUAAGUAUGAGCUCAAUAUAUUUCUCCUCCUAAAAUUAAAAAAAAGGUCUGCAUUGGCUGGGCAUGAUGUUAUACACCUUUAGUCCCAGGCAGAGGCAGGAGGAUCUCUGAGUUGGAGACCAGUCUAGUCUAAAAGUGAAUUCUAGGACAGCCAGGGUUACACAGAGUAACUGUGUCUCAAAAACAAACAAACAAAAACCAAAUGAAUGAAUGAUAAAAAGGUAUUUUUCUAUCCAUACCUAUACAAAUCACUGAAAAUCCUCAGAUGUCUUAUAAAA